Equus caballus (horse) is the source of this 656-nucleotide non-coding RNA. Lineage: Eukaryota; Metazoa; Chordata; Mammalia; Perissodactyla; Equidae. The record is from RefSeq and is a predicted model, not a curated record.
AGCAGUGUCUGUGACAUAAAGGAGGAGUCAGCAACUCUUCAGGGAAGGAAGUGAGCUUGACCAGGAUUUAGAAAGAUGAAUAUGAUUUUGCCAUUCAGAGACUUUGGGAAAAAAGGACAUAACUAGACCAAGGGGCCCAUCCAGACUGCAUGACAUGAGUGGAGAUGAUUCCUGAGCUCUCUGUUCUACUGGAAUUACCCCAAGAAGUUCUAGAACUACUGCUCUAGAGGACCCCAAUCAUGAGGAUGAUGUCACACCUGAUUGUCUUGAAUGGCUUCAUCCAGGUUAACCAGUCUUCCGGGAACCUGUGUGGAAUCUUCCAGCCACCUUCCAGCAGUGAGGGUCGUGGAAGCAUUAACCUUUCGUCUAAGAAGCUGCGUGCCGAGAUGUUCAUCUCUAACAACUUUGGAGACUCUCCAGUUUUCACAGACGCCUAAUUAGGCAAUUAUUUACGUUUCGUUAUACUCACUCCCAUGGCUCCCUUCUAACAGGCACACUAAUGAAGUUCCUCUGUGACAUCACAGUGCUCCAACUGAUGAAAAAACAAACGAACAAAUGGACUCCGUGCAUGGACACCUAGCCGAGCCUGUGUCUGGGAAGAAUGACAUGCCUUCAGCAUGAAGUAGUGACGAGAAACAGACACGUAAUUAAGGAGG